Molecule: ribosomal RNA, 465 nt
Filed under: uncultured bacterium
Lineage: Bacteria
Description: partial 16S ribosomal RNA
Rfam family: Bacterial small subunit ribosomal RNA
Source: RNAcentral
GACGAACGCUGGCGGCGUGCUUAACACAUGCAAGUCGAACGGAAAGGCCCUGCUUGCAGGGUACUCGAGUGGCGAACGGGUGAGUAACACGUGGGUGAUCUGCCCUGCACUUCGGGAUAAGCCUGGGAAACUGGGUCUAAUACCGGAUAGGAGCCAUUUUUAGUGUGAUGGUUGGAAAGUUUUUUCGGUGUAGGAUGAGCUCGCGGCCUAUCAGCUUGUUGGUGGGGUAAUGGCCUACCAAGGCGGCGACGGGUAGCCGGCCUGAGAGGGUGGACGGCCACAUUGGGACUGAGAUACGGCCCAGACUCCUACGGGAGGCAGCAGGGGGGAAUAUUGCACAAUGGGCGCAAGCCUGAUGCAGCGAAGCCGCGUGGGGGAUGACGGCCUUCGGGUUGGAAACGCCCUUCGCUAGGGACGAAGCUUUUUGUGACGGUACCUAGAUAAGAAGCACCGGCUAACUACGUG